Albula goreensis is the source of this 75-nucleotide non-coding RNA. The record is from the annotation of a GenBank genome assembly. Lineage: Eukaryota; Metazoa; Chordata; Actinopteri; Albuliformes; Albulidae.
AGCAGUCUAGUAUAAUGGUGAGGAGACUGGGCUUACAACUCAGAGGUUGCAGGUUCAGUUCCAAUGCGGGGGCUG